AGUGAACGCUGGCGGUAGGCCUAACACAUGCAAGUCGAACGGCAGCACAGUAAGAGCUUGCUCUUACGGGUGGCGAGUGGCGGACGUGUGAGGAAUACAUCGGAAUCUACUUUUUCGUGGGGGAUAACGUAGGGAAACUUACGCUAAUACCGCAUACCACCUACGGGUGAAAGCAGGGGAUCUUCGGACCUUGCGCGAUUGAAUGAGCCGAUGUCGGAUUAGCUAGUUGGCGGGGUAAAGGCCCACCAAGGCGACGAUCCGUAGCUGGUCUGAGAGGAUGAUCAGCCACACUGGAACUGAGACACGGUCCAGACUCCUACGGGAGGCAGCAGUGGGGAAUAUUGGACAAUGGGCGCAAGCCUGCUCCAUCCAUACCGCGUGUGUGAAGAAGGCCUUCGGGUUGUAAAGCCCUUUUGUUGGGAAAGAAAAGCAGCAGGUUAAUACCCCGCUGUUCUGACGGUACCUAAAGAAUAAGCACCGGCUAACUUCGUG
This 492-nucleotide ribosomal RNA is filed under the name uncultured bacterium. Its description in RNAcentral is "partial 16S ribosomal RNA". It matches the Rfam family "Bacterial small subunit ribosomal RNA", at positions 29 to 507 of the family's 1533-position model. The record is from RNAcentral.